GAAGUCGUAACAAGGUAACCGUAGGGGAACCUGCGG
Molecule: ribosomal RNA, 36 nt
Filed under: Oryza sativa Indica Group (long-grained rice)
Lineage: Eukaryota; Viridiplantae; Streptophyta; Magnoliopsida; Poales; Poaceae
Description: 18S ribosomal RNA
Source: RNAcentral